Toxotes jaculatrix (banded archerfish) is the source of this 208-nucleotide long non-coding RNA. RefSeq lists it as uncharacterized. The record is from RefSeq and is a predicted model, not a curated record. The transcript has 4 exons. Lineage: Eukaryota; Metazoa; Chordata; Actinopteri; Toxotidae.
AGCUGAUGGAGAGGACCACGAGAGACAAGGAAGCAUUGGAUCAGAGGCAGUUGGUGUGUGUCCUGGGCCAUGAAGAGGAAGAAUUUUAUAGAGAUUUGUCUCCUGCUGCAUGUGGCCGAGUGGGGCUCCAACUUGGAUGAGUCCAUAUCCAGGGUGGAGCUCAGGAUGGAGGAGCUGAUCCAGAGGACCAUGAGAAACAAGGUGAGAG